RNAcentral lists this ribosomal RNA (137 nucleotides) under Paralcaligenes ureilyticus. Lineage: Bacteria; Pseudomonadati; Pseudomonadota; Betaproteobacteria; Burkholderiales; Alcaligenaceae. The record is from RNAcentral.
CUUGACGACCAUAGCGAGGUGGUCCCACCCCUUCCCAUCCCGAACAGGAUCGUGAAACGCCUUUGCGCCGAUGAUAGUGGACGUACGUCUGUGAAAGUAGGUCAUCGUCAAGCUCUUAUCUCCCAACGCCCCGACAG